CUCCCUUCAUUCAAACAAACUUCCUGCAGCUGUUUAACAUUUACUGCGAGCAGUGCUCACCUAUUUGUUCAACCCCUGUAUAUAAUGGUUACAGCUUGCGCUGCACUGGAAUUGCAGGGCAGCAGGUUGGAUUUCUGCCGGUGAUCAGCAGUUGCAUUUUGAUUUUUCACAACUUUUCCUGGUUAGGUAUAAUAAAUGCAUAUAAAUUUCUACUCAAUAAUUUCCAUCUGUACAAGAUCGACCCUUCAACUAUUAUUCAAUUCUGU
Paramuricea clavata is the source of this 266-nucleotide non-coding RNA. Lineage: Eukaryota; Metazoa; Cnidaria; Anthozoa; Malacalcyonacea; Plexauridae. The record is from the annotation of a GenBank genome assembly.